AUAUUUAUUUUACCUGAGUAGUUCUAAAAAAAAAAAAAAAAAAAAUCUAUUCUUAUCAGUUUAACAUCUGAUACGUCCCCUAUCUGGGGACCAUAUAUUAAAUGGAUUUUUGGAACAGGGAGAUGGAAGAAGAGCUUGCUCUGGCCACUCCACGCAUCGACCGGGUAUUGCAGUACCUCCAGGACCGGUGCACCUCUC
Molecule: non-coding RNA, 198 nt
Organism: Xenopus tropicalis (tropical clawed frog)
Lineage: Eukaryota; Metazoa; Chordata; Amphibia; Anura; Pipidae
Source: Rfam